RNAcentral lists this transfer RNA (69 nucleotides) under Spathius agrili (emerald ash borer parasitic wasp). RNAcentral describes it as "tRNA-Gln". The record is from RNAcentral. Lineage: Eukaryota; Metazoa; Arthropoda; Insecta; Hymenoptera; Braconidae.
UAUAUUUUAAUGUAUAAUGCAUAAAAAUUUUUGAAAUUUUAAGAUUUAGUGUAAAUCUAUUAAAUAUAA